UUGGGGUGUGAGACUGGAAAC
Molecule: microRNA, 21 nt
Filed under: Mus musculus (house mouse)
Lineage: Eukaryota; Metazoa; Chordata; Mammalia; Rodentia; Muridae
Description: mmu-miR-6964-5p
Source: miRBase by way of RNAcentral